UACGUAGGGGGCAAGCGUUGUCCGGAUUUAUUGGGCGUAAAGAGCGUGUAGGCGGCCAUACAGGUCCGUUGUGAAAACUGGAGGCUUAACCUCCAGACGUCGAUGGAAACCGUAUGGCUAGAGUCCGUAAGAGGAGAGUGGAAUUCCUGGUGUAGCAGUGAAAUGCGUAGAGAUCAUGAGGAAGACCAGUGGCGAAGGCGGGUCUCUGGACAGUUCCUGACACUGAGGCACGAAGGCCAGGGGAGCAAACAGG
Molecule: ribosomal RNA, 253 nt
Filed under: uncultured bacterium
Lineage: Bacteria
Description: partial 16S ribosomal RNA
Rfam family: Bacterial small subunit ribosomal RNA
Source: RNAcentral